This 248-nucleotide ribosomal RNA is filed under the name uncultured bacterium. RNAcentral's name for it is "partial 16S ribosomal RNA". It matches the Rfam family "Bacterial small subunit ribosomal RNA", at positions 159 to 422 of the family's 1533-position model. The record is from RNAcentral.
UGUGCUAAUACCGGAUAAGUCUUUACGGAGAAAGCUUUAUGCACCAUUGGAUGAGCCUGCACUUGAUUAGUUUGUUGGUGGGGUAAUGGCCUACCAAGACUGUGAUCAAUAGCUGAUUUGAGAGGAUGAUCAGCCACAUUGGGACUGAGACACGGCCCAAACUCCUACGGGAGGCAGCAGUGGGGAAUCUUGCACAAUGGAGGAAACUCUGAUGCAGCGAUGCCGCGUGAGUGAAGAAGGCCUUUGGG